GGGGAAUAUUGCACAAUGGGCGCAAGCCUGAUGCAGCGACGCCGCGUGAGGGAUGACGGCCUUCGGGUUGUAAACCUCUUUCAGUAGGGAAGAAGCCGCAAGGUGACGGUACCUGCAGAAGAAGCGCCGGCUAACUACGUGCCAGCAGCCGCGGUAAUACGUAGGGCGCAAGCGUUAUCCGGAAUUAUUGGGCGUAAAGAGCUCGUAGGCGGUUCGUCGCGUCGGCUGUGAAAACCCGGAGCUCAACUCCGGGCCUGCAGUCGAUACGGGCGGACUUGAGUGUUGCAGGGGAGACUGGAAUUCCUGGUGUAGCGGUGAAAUGCGCAGAUAUCAGGAGGAACACCGGUGGCGAAGGCGGGUCUCUGGGCAACUACUGACGCUGAGGAGCGAAAGCGUGGGGAGCGAAC
This 407-nucleotide ribosomal RNA is filed under the name uncultured bacterium. RNAcentral's name for it is "bacterial SSU rRNA". It matches the Rfam family "Bacterial small subunit ribosomal RNA", at positions 356 to 773 of the family's 1533-position model. The record is from RNAcentral.